CAUUAGAAAAAUCGGUAUCCGCCUGGGA
RNAcentral lists this small RNA (28 nucleotides) under Bombyx mori (domestic silkworm). RNAcentral describes it as "ovarian small RNA-13438". The record is from RNAcentral. Lineage: Eukaryota; Metazoa; Arthropoda; Insecta; Lepidoptera; Bombycidae.